This 467-nucleotide ribosomal RNA is filed under the name Notocypraea piperita. RNAcentral's name for it is "partial 16S large subunit ribosomal RNA". It matches the Rfam family "Bacterial large subunit ribosomal RNA", at positions 1850 to 2577 of the family's 2925-position model. The record is from RNAcentral. Lineage: Eukaryota; Metazoa; Mollusca; Gastropoda; Littorinimorpha; Cypraeidae.
GAGUCGGACCUGCCCAGUGAAUAAUUUUUAACGGCCGCGGUACUCUGACCGUGCAAAGGUAGCAUAAUCAUUUGCCUUAUAAUUGAGGGCCAGUAUGAAUGGUUUGACGUGAACAAAACUGUCUCUAUAUAAUUUUUUAGAAUUUGAUAUUUAGGUGAAGAAACCUAAAUACUAUUGAAAGACAAGAAGACCCUAUUGAGCUUUAAAAUAAUAAAUUAAAUAUAAUAUAUAACUUUAGAUAUAAAUUUAUUUUUAAAUUUUGGUUGGGGCGACUAUGGAACAAAUAAAGCUUCUUUAUUAUAUUAAAGACUUACAAGUUUAUGAUCCAAAAGAUUUUGAUUAUUGAAAUUAGUUACCGUAGGGAUAACAGCAUCAUUCUCUUUAAGAGUCCUUAUUGAAAAGAGAGUUUGUGACCUCGAUGUUGGAUUAGAAUGCCCCAAAGAUGUAACAGUCUUUAAAGGUUGGUC